Long non-coding RNA from Vidua chalybeata, 371 nucleotides. RefSeq lists it as uncharacterized. The transcript is spliced from 2 exons. Lineage: Eukaryota; Metazoa; Chordata; Aves; Passeriformes; Viduidae. The record is from RefSeq and is a predicted model, not a curated record.
AGAAAUGAACCAUUUUGGAGGCUGCCAGCUCAGAGCUGUGCUGCUGGGACACCACUCCUGUUCCAGCCCCUGUGAGCUCCUUGCUUGGCUCUCACAUCUCACCGUGGGCUGUACAGCCCAGUCAAGCCCUGGACAUAUUUUUGCUUUUUGUCUGUUCUAAAUGCAUCACAUCCUAAUCUCACUGUGUGUCUAAGAUGCCUGUGGUACAUCAGAAAAGAAAGUUUCUGUCAACUUAAAGGAUGAAGAGAUUCAGUCUGCAGACAAAACCUCCCAAAUCAGGAGCAGCCCUGGGCUACUGAGAGCUGCUCAAAAACUGAGCUUGACGUAACUCCUGUUUAAGAAGAGCUGUGAAAGUAAAAUAUGAAAAAUCA